GAUGAAGAACGUAGCGAAAUGCGAUAAGUAGUGUGAAUUGCAGAAUUCAGUGAAUCAUCGAAUCUUUGAACGCACAUUGCGCCCCUUGGUAUUCCAUGGGGCAUGCCUGUUCGAGCGUCAUCUGCACCCUCAAGCACUGCUUGGUGAUGGGCGUCUGUCCCGCCUCUGCGAGCGGACUCGCCCCAAAGGUAUUGGCAGCGGUCCUGUCCGCCUCUCGCGCAGCACAGAUGCGCUUCUCGAGGCUUCGGGGCCCGCGUCCAUGAAGCUCUUUUACCACGUUUGACCUCGGAUCAGGUAGGGAUACCCGCUGAACUUAAGCAUAUCAAUAAGCGGAGGA
This 337-nucleotide unclassified non-coding RNA is filed under the name soil metagenome. Its description in RNAcentral is "partial contains 5.8S ribosomal RNA, internal transcribed spacer 2, and large subunit ribosomal RNA". The stretch from base 1 to 120 matches the Rfam family "5.8S ribosomal RNA", at positions 35 to 154 of the family's 154-position model. The record is from RNAcentral.